AUGAGCGUGAACAGGGAUCACAUAGCCUUGGCAGCCAAGAGCUCUGACAUGGACCAAGGGACCAGAUCUUGGGGGCUGUGGAUGGAUAGUCCCUCCAAAGGCGCUCCUGUGUGGGCAUCGGGUGCAUUGAAGUUCUCCGCUCCCAGACAUGGGUCCCUUGGCUUCUUGCCUUGGAAGUGCAGCAGCAGGCAUCGUGGGAAGGUGAAGAGCUUCCCCAAGGAUGACCCUUCCAAGCCGGUCCACCUCACAGCCUUCCUGGGAUACAAGGCUGGCAUGACUCAUAUCGUGUGAGAGGUCGAUAGGCCAGGAUCUAAUGUGAACAAGAAGGUGGUGGAGGCUGUGACCAUUGUGGAGAUGCCACCCAUGGUGGUUGUGGGCAUUGCGGGCUACGUGGAAACCCCUCGAGGCCUCCAGAUCUUCAAGACUGUCUUCGCCGAGCACAUCAGUGAUGAGUGCAAAAGGCGUUUCUAUAAGAACUGGCAUAAAUCUAAGAAGGCCUUCACCAAGUACUGCAAGAAAUGGCAGGAUGAGGAUGGCAAGAAGCAGCUGGAGAAGGACUUUAGCAGCAUGAAGAAAUACUGCCAAGUCAUCCGCGUCAUUGUCCACACCUAGAUGCGCCUGCUUCCUCUGCACCAGAAAAAGGCCCACCUGAUGGAGAUCCAGGUGAAUGGAGGCACCGUGUCUGAGAAGCUGGACUGGGCCCGUGAGAGGCUGGAGCAGCAGGUACCUGUGAACCAAGUGUUUGGGCAGGACGAGAUGAUUGACGUCAUCGGGGUGACCAAGGGCAAAGGCUACAAAGGGGUCACCAGUCGUGGGCACACCAAGAAGCUGCCCCGCAAGACCCACCGAGGCCUGUGCAAGGUGGCCUGUAUUGGGGCGUGGCAUCCUGCCCGUGUGGCCUUCUCUGUGGCACGUGCUGGGCAGGAAGGAUACCAUCACCGCACUGAGAUCAACAAGAAGAUCUAUAAGAUCGGCCAGGGCUACCUUAUCAAGGACGGCAAGCUGAUCAAGAACAAUGCCUCCACCGACUAUGACCUGUCUGACAAGAGCAUCAACCCUCUGGGUGGCUUUGUCCACUAUGGUGAAAUGACCAAUGACUUUGUCAUGCUGAAAAGCUGUGUUGUGGGAACCAAGAAGCGGGUGUUCACCCUCCGCAAGUCCUUGCUGGUGCAGACCAAGCGGCGGGCUCUGGAUAAGAUUGACCUUAAGUUCAUUGACACCACCUCCAAGUUUGGCCAUGGCUGCUUCCAGACCAUGGAGGAGAAGAAAGCAUUCAUGGGACCACUCAAGAAAGACCGAAUUGCAAAGGAAGAAGGAGCUUAAUGCCAGGAACAGAUUUGCAGCUGGUGGGGACUUGAUAAAAGUUAUUUUCCACUGAAAA
Molecule: RNA transcript, 1381 nt
Organism: Cebus imitator (Panamanian white-faced capuchin)
Lineage: Eukaryota; Metazoa; Chordata; Mammalia; Primates; Cebidae
Gene name: 60S ribosomal protein L3-like
Exons: 3
Source: RefSeq, a predicted model, not a curated record